GACGAACGCUGGCGGCGUGCUUAACACAUGCAAGUCGAACGGAAAGGCCCUGCGUGUGUGGGGUGCCCGAGUGGCGAACGGGUGAGUAACACGUGAGUAACCUGCUCUUGACUUUGGGAUAACUUCAGGAAACUGGGGCUAAUACCGGAUAGGAGCUCCUGCUGCAUUGUGGGGGUUGGAAAGUUGCGGCUGUCGGGGCUGGACUGGCGGCUUAUCAGCUUGUUGGUGGGGUAGUGGCUGACCAAGGCAUAGACGGGUACGCGGCCCGAGAGGGUGACCGGCCUCAUUGGGACUGAGAUACGGACCAGUCUGCUACGGGAGGCAGCAGUGGGAAGUAUUGCACAGCGGGCCGGAGCCUGUGGCAGCAGCGUCGGGUGCGGAAUGCCGGCCUUCGGGUUGAGAACAGCAUUCGGCUGUGACGCAGCGUGAGUGACGGUACUGAAUGAAGAAGCACCGGCUAACUACGUG
RNAcentral lists this ribosomal RNA (468 nucleotides) under uncultured bacterium. RNAcentral describes it as "partial 16S ribosomal RNA". It matches the Rfam family "Bacterial small subunit ribosomal RNA", at positions 28 to 507 of the family's 1533-position model. The record is from RNAcentral.